RNAcentral lists this long non-coding RNA (492 nucleotides) under Toxoplasma gondii VEG. The record is from RNAcentral. Lineage: Eukaryota; Apicomplexa; Conoidasida; Eucoccidiorida; Sarcocystidae.
UGUACAUCGAGACAUCUUGCUGUCUCCCCUGCUUUUGGCAGCAAAUGGGCGACAGGUCGAGUUGUGUAACUCUAAUCACGGAACUCUUUCGGAUGUUUCCUUGACUGUCUUUUCGGGUCUCCGCUUGCGUACACGGGAAAAAUUUAAGCUCCGGGAGUGGAAUAUGAAAAUCUCAGGAUGGUGUGUGUGCCAGUAGCCCCCGGCAGGUUCUUUUCCUGUGGACUGGCUUCUGUGUGGAGACUGUUUUCGGCCAGGAUUUCGAUGCGGAAUAACACUCCAGCCACUGAACUGUGUGUAGACCUCACAUGGCGGGAACUCCGCAUGAUCUCGCUCGACGAUGGUCGUGUCUUGCACCACUCACAAGCAUAGUCCAACUUUUCCCAGUUGGGUGCAUGUAUUUUUCCCCAGGUCUUUCGGGCUGCUGCCUGGACAGUCGGACGAACCGAAUGAUAUUCCUGUGUAAAGACGACUAACAGCCAGAUACCAGGUGGU